Molecule: ribosomal RNA, 496 nt
Filed under: uncultured Caldilineae bacterium
Lineage: Bacteria; Bacillati; Chloroflexota; Caldilineae
Description: bacterial SSU rRNA
Rfam family: Bacterial small subunit ribosomal RNA
Source: RNAcentral
GAGUUUGAUCGUGGCUCAGGAUGAACGCUGGCGGCGUGCCUAACACAUGCAAGUCGAACGUUAGAGUUUAGCAAUAGACUCGAAAGUGGCGAACGGGUGAGUAACACGUGGAUAACUUGCCGCGCAGAGGGGGAUAACGACUGGAAACGGUCGCUAAUACCGCAUGGUACUAGGGAAUGGGGACAUUUCUUGGUUAAAACUUUGGUGCUGCGCGAGGGGUCUGCGUCCGAUUAGUUAGUUGGUGAGGUAACGGCUCACCAAGACGAUGAUCGGUAGCUAGUCUGAGAGGAUGAUUAGCCACACGGGAACUGAGACACGGUCCCGACUCCUACGGGGGCAGCAGUGAGGAAUAUUGCACAAUGGACGAAAGUCUGAUGCAGCAACGCCGCGUGGAGGAUGAAGGUCUUUGGAUUGUAAACUCCUUUUCUCAGGGAAGAGAAUGGACGGUACCUGAGGAAUAAGUCACGGCUAACUACGUGCCAGCCGCCGCAGUAAU